GACGAACGCUGGCGGCGUGCUUAACACAUGCAAGUCGAACGGAAAGGCCCUGCUUUUGUGGGGUGCUCGAGUGGCGAACGGGUGAGUAACACGUGAGUAACCUGCCCUUGACUUUGGGAUAACUUCAGGAAACUGGGGCUAAUACCGGAUAGGAGCUCCUGCUGCAUGGUGGGGGUUGGAAAGUUUCGGCGGUUGGGGAUGGACUCGCGGCUUAUCAGCUUGUUGGUGGGGUAGUGGCUUACCAAGGCUUUGACGGGUAGCCGGCCUGAGAGGGUGACCGGCCACAUUGGGACUGAGAUACGGCCCAGACUCCCGGGAGGCAGCAGUGGGGAAUAUUGCACAAUGGGCGGAAGCCUGAUGCAGCAACGCCGCGUGCGGGAUGACGGCCUUCGGGUUGUAAACCGCUUUCGCCUGUGACGAAGCGUGAGUGACGGUAAUGGGUAAAGAAGCACCGGCUAACUACGUG
RNAcentral lists this ribosomal RNA (466 nucleotides) under uncultured bacterium. Its description in RNAcentral is "partial 16S ribosomal RNA". It matches the Rfam family "Bacterial small subunit ribosomal RNA", at positions 28 to 507 of the family's 1533-position model. The record is from RNAcentral.